UAGCCGUAAACGAUACUCGCUAGGUGUCGGCCACGGUGCGACCGUUGUCGGUGCCGUAGGGAAGCCGUGAAGCGAGCCACCUGGGAAGUACGGCCGCAAGGCUGAAACUUAAAGGAAUUGGGCGGGGGAGCACCACAACGGGUGGAGCUUGCGGUUUAAUUGGAUUCAACGCCGGAAAUCUUACCGGGACCGACAGCAACAUGAAGGCCAGGCUGAAGACUUUGCCGGAUUAGCUGAGAGGAGGUGCAUGGCGUAGUCGUGU
Molecule: ribosomal RNA, 262 nt
Filed under: uncultured archaeon
Lineage: Archaea
Description: partial 16S ribosomal RNA
Rfam family: Archaeal small subunit ribosomal RNA
Source: RNAcentral